This 235-nucleotide ribosomal RNA is filed under the name uncultured Pseudomonadales bacterium. RNAcentral describes it as "partial 16S ribosomal RNA". It matches the Rfam family "Bacterial small subunit ribosomal RNA", at positions 96 to 334 of the family's 1533-position model. Lineage: Bacteria; Pseudomonadati; Pseudomonadota; Gammaproteobacteria; Pseudomonadales. The record is from RNAcentral.
CGGCGGACGGGUGAGUAAUGCCUAGGAAUCUGCCUGGUAGUGGGGGACAACGUUUCGAAAGGAACGCUAAUACCGCAUACGUCCUACGGGAGAAAGCAGGGGACCUUCGGGCCUUGCGCUAUCAGAUGAGCCUAGGUCGGAUUAGCUAGUAGGUGGGGUAAUGGCCCACCUAGGCGACGAUCCGUAACUGGUCUGAGAGGAUGAUCAGUCACACUGGAACUGAGACACGGUCCAG